UUUUUUUUUCUAUCCUUCGUUCCGUCUCUUUCCGUUGUUUCUUCGAGUACCGCUGUUGGUAACGCGUGACCAAUUUGUGCUUGCAGAGUCUCGGUAUAUAGAUCACGCACGAGUGAAAGCCCAUAAUAGGGCUCGACUUUAGAUAGUCUGUUGAAGAAGAUAUGGAUUGCAAACCGUGUCUAUUUAGAAUCUAUUUUGGGUUUUAAGUUGGAUUUGGAUCCUCUGUUGGACUUAGUCUGAGAUACAGUUUCCGUCCGUGGUCUGCGAGCGAGAGCAGGAGGCGGCCACGCAAGCUCCACGAAGGGAACGAAACCGACGCCGAGCCCGAGACGGCGAGCCGUUGCUUCGCGACACCUCGCUCGCUUCUCUUCCAGGCUUCCACCUCCACUUCCACAUGGCCGCUCCCAUCCACGCGCGUCUCCUCCCGCUCCCCUUGCACCCGAACCCAAGCCCCAGUCUCCACGCGAGCGGCACACGACGGGUGCCCUGGCCCCCGCGCCACCGCCGCCGCUGCUUCGCGACGCCGCCGUCGCGGAACGGGAGCUCCUCCUCGCCGGAGAUCGACUGGUGCCCGGUGCCGCCGGACCAGCUCCCCGUGAACGAGUACGAGGCGCUUGCGGCCUCCCUGCCCUUCUCCUGGGCGGCGGGGGGCCUCCGCGUCUACUGCUCCCGCCUCGCGCUCACGGGCGCCGCCGUCGCGCUCUUCGUCGGGCUCCCGGUCGCCGCCUUCGGGGGCCGCGGCGGGGCCGGCGGCGACGCUCUGCACCUCGCGCUCGGUGCCACGGGGUCCGGGAUCCUCGCCGUCACGCUCGCUGUCGUGCGGAUGUACCUCGGGUGGGCCUACGUCGGCAACCGCCUGCUCAGCGCCACAGUGGAGUGUGAGGAAUCCGAAUUAAUUCUGUUCUCCUUUCUGCUAGUCUGCAUUGCGUUACUCUGAAGUCCGUAUCGUAUCUGAUUCAGAUGAGGAGACGGGAUGGUAUGAUGGUCAGGUGAGAUGUUUCUGUUGAUCCCGUCCUUUCUUGUACUUGAUCCUAAUUUUCUAAUAAAUUUCUAGAUUGAACUGUAGUACUUAGAGGUACUCCGUGUCACUCAGGUAGAACGGGGAUCAUUUCUAGAGGCUAGAGCUGACUUGCUGCUUGGUUAGGCCUUGAAAUGUUUUGGUGAUACAAACAAUUGGACAAAAGGAAUAUGAUCUAGAAAACUACGGGGAAUCAUCCAACCAUUGAUACACACUUAGUGCCACCAAAACAGAUACUGAAAAUGUGCCCCUAUGGUCCUAUGGGCCCCGUGUGCAUCCAUCGUUGGAUACUUGGAUGCAUACGAGGAAGCAUGUGAGCAGGAAAGAGAAAUAUUGAGGGCACCUCUCUCCGGCUGUACACGGAUCCCAUGGGGAUAUGUCCUUAGGGCAAAAUUAACAUUCACCCACUGAAAAAACUUCUGCGGCUGUUUUCUGUUGCUUUAUCUUUAUCAAGCCUGACAUUAUUGAUAUUCAUGCCAUAGAAAAACGUGAGGUGUUAAUCUACCGCUGUUUCAUAUUAUAGCAAGUGCUUCCUUGUAAAUUAAGCAUUGAUGUAGAAUUGCUGAGUUAUUUUAGUCCUUGUAAGUUGUUGUAACAUGCAGACAGCUGUCUCGAAAAGGAGGAGAAAAACAUGUACACACAUCCUUAUGGUGCUUCUGUAAAUUUGUUUUACUAGUGUUAGUCAAGAUGGUUUGUGGUUUUCCGCUUCGUUUGAUCUUAUUCUUGAUAAGUACUUGUAUUCUUCUUAAUAAAAAUUUGUAUGCAUGGAAUUCAUUAUACUUGGCUCAUCACACCAGGGUUAACUUUUGGUGCUAAAAUCAUUUCUUACCUUUGGCAGAUAUGGGUUAAAACUCCAGAAGUUUUAGCUCGUGAUCGGCUUCUAGGCUCAUUUUCUGUAAGUUGUACUUACUGACUUCUGUAAACGCAACAUUCUUUUAUGAUCAGUUAGCUCUUUGUUUUCCAUUGAGUAUCAGCUGCAUGCCAUAAAGCUUAUUGAGUGAACACUGAACUUUACAUGCACAUGGCAUGAGCUGUGAUAUCCCCUCAGGGAAAUAUGACCAUAUCAUGAACUUGGCUGUGCUCUGGACCUACACCUGAGUCUGGGUCUGGGUGUUAUCUGGUGCAUCUGUUUUCUGAAAACGUUACAAAUUGCAAUACCAAAAAAACAUCAUAGCAUCGUUGGGAAAAAAAUCUUUUGCGUUGCUACUAAGCAUUGUUUUUUUCCUUCUUUUUUAUGCUCUAGGUCAAGCCUGUGCUAAACAGGGUGAAGUUCACCUUGGUGGGUCUGGCAGGCUCCCUGAUCCUUUGCAUUCUUCUGUACGUGAACACGGAAACCCCAAAGGAACCUUAUGGAAAUACAGGUGGAAGGUCUAUCCCGGGAGUGUACAGCGACGCUGCUGCAAGGUCGUUUGAGCCCGAUGCAUUCUGUGGAGAACCUGAUUUGUCGUAGCAUCGUAAAGCGUGGAGCAUGGAAGGUUUGUAGAUGGCAGUAUAUAUGGUCUCACAGGGUAUAUACGGGGGUUUCUGUACGGGGUUUUUAAUCCAUCAAACUAGGGUAAUGUAAAUAUUUGGCCACACCCACACUAGUAUCGAUAUUUUAGACGCAAGCCUCUUAUGAAAAUUUAUGCUGACGGGCCACGGUGAAGUGAAAGGGGGUCACGCCUGUUUCCGAAGAGCGGAGCCGGGUGCAUAGCAUAUGUGCGCCAGAAUCUAUUUAUACACAUAUAUUGACGUCACAAGUGUAAUAUAUCAAAAGAACAAUGCAUAAAAGCGUAAAUAACGAUUAUAUUAACAUAUUACACUUCGAACAGAUAAAAUGUCUUAAUCUUUAUUCAUCAGAGUACAACGAAAUAAGAACAUCCAUCCACAGGAAGAUUAUCGGGGGUAUCACUAGACUAGCAUUCAUGGAGUUCAGCAUCAUAUCUUCAUCUGCAAACUUCUGAUCAAAAUUUAAGCAAGGGUGAGCUUACUUACGGUCGGGUCUCAGCAAGUAGGGGAAAAAUUAAUGCAGGUUUAACAAGGUGAGGCUAAGGUUGAGCAGUAAGCAUUUUAGUUGGUCAACAUUUUAUUAACAACAUAUGUCUUAUUAAUAAGUGUGAAUCACAAGUAUUCCCAUUAAACAAAGGUAUAAGAGUAUAUCAAAAACACUUAAGUGAAACCACUUAAGCAAACCAUUGGCAGAUCAUCGGAUCUCGAUUUAUUUCUAUCUUCAAGUUCAAUUAUCAUGUGAGGAGUCCAGACUGCUCUUAAUCGUGAGCACGACUGAUAUAUCAGUUUUACACUCUACAGAGGUGGCGCAUCUUUACCCAUGAGUCGCGAUUUCCUUUUUGCUCGGGUUAGCUAGACCCGUAUUCACUUCCGAGGUGAAUGGCUAGGGUCUCACUACGAGGCUUCUCCCUAGAGUCCUCAUUACGCAAAUGCUGGAAAUGGUCAACUACAUAAGGUACACCUACCGUAACCAACUUAUAAUCCAGACUACAGGGUAAAGCUUUGGGAACUAUGCUCGUAUCCAAUCUGCCUGAGCCGGAACUAUAAGCGCUUGCGAGAUGCCCCCAUUCCGGUCGACCACGACCAGCACCCAACAUAAGACUUCCCUAAUUAUUUAGCCAAGACCAGAGCCAUGAUAGUUCUCAUGGUAGCACUGUUUUCCCGGGUUGUCACUCCAUGUAUCAAUUAAUAUGCAAUAAUCUUGUUUAACCAUCGGGUUAACAACAAUAAAGUAAUCUUACCAUUUGGAACAUUAAUAUCAUAAACAUGAGUGACUGCAUAAAUUUAAAGUUGUAGCAAUAGCAUAGCUACUUGAUUAGAUCAUAAUCACAGGUUAAACAAGGAGUAAGGUUGGAAAUGUUAGGGGUAUCCAAAUAGGUAACCCAUCAAAUUAUGCAUAUAUUCAUCGAAGAAUAAACUUUAUUAAAUGUAUUGUUUGGGAUUAAACAGAGUAUACAGAGGGAGAAGUCCACUUGCUUUGCUUAUAGAAAACUUGAGGUUCUUCCACAGAAUAUAUCUUGAUUCUCAACUACUGGAUCAAUCUCUAAACAUCACAUAACAAACAAGAAGAACAAACACCACUCAAUAACAUAUCACAUUCACCAUACGUAAAGCUAAAAGAAAGCCUAACGGAAAGAGCGUUCACUUUUCAAAAACAUUACACACAAGGGUUAUAAUAAAAAGGUAUUCUUUUCAAAAAUGUGUGAUAUAUAUAGUUUAUAAAACAAGACAUGAGCUUAAAAUAUCUUAAGUAAAAUAUGUAAAUAUUAGGUUCACCUAUUUAAUCUUUUAUAAAACGUCAUACGCGAUACAUCUUAGAUAAAGGGUUUAUAAGAUGAUAAAACGUUUUAACAAUAUUAAACCUUUUUAACCUUUUAGAAAAGAUAUAAGUUAUAAAUCUAAGAUUAAUGCGUUAUGAAACAUGUUAUUAGUUUUAGAAGCAUUAUGGAACAUCUUAUAAAUCAUUGUUAAACAUUCACUUCUGAUAAACUAAGAUAUAAGUCUAAAUAGGUUUUUAUAUGAAAAGAUCAUUAUUAUUAAACACCUAUUUUAUGAAAGACUAGGUUAUAGGCCUCAAGUGGAUUUUCAUGCAAAAGAUAAUAAACAAAUAACUAUCUUUUAUUUUCAUUAGAAAACACAUAGCCUAUAUUAUUAUAUUUGAAGUCAAUAUUAAAUAACAUUUUAAGUUAUAAAGGAACUUAAACUCUUAUUACUUUACUAGUUAUAUGCCCGUGUUUUGCAACGACAUACAAAAUAUUUGAUAAAAUUAUUUACCAACAAAUACUACAAUUACAACCAGAGACAGGAUGUCGUUGUCGCAGUUGGCCAAGCUCCUUUGCGGCCACAGAUGGGGGCCACAUCUCCUCUCAUAAACUGCUGUUGCGCAUAAACAGACCCCGGAGCAGUGCCUGCAGUACAGACAAGAAUUCUGAUCAUGCUCUAGCUAAUUGCAUUGUUGGUCUUCUCGACUCUUUCAGCUGAAGCAACCAGCUGCCCUUCACCAGUGAGGAAAAGAAUCAGCUAACAAUGGCAUCCCCAGCAGCCUUGUUGUAGCGAGUAGCGACUGCAGGAGAUCGCGUGCAGCAAAUGUCGUCGCCAGGCAGACAUAGACAACCACUAUGCUUGCCAAGCCACCGCAAUAAGAAGAUUUGGAGCGCGAGCAAGAAAAGAGAAAUGCAAGAGGCAAGAAGCAGCAGCUAGCCUUCGAAGCUCUCACUAUCACAAUGCACACAUGGGCUUGUCAUUAGCUGGAGUUGAGUUUCUUUUCUCCUCCGACCUUGUUCCUGCUUCCUUCUCCUUGUCAAACAGAACACAUGGCUAACUGGUAUGUGAGAGGAUUAGUGUGAACCAAGGGCCAUAUAUAAAAAAAAGAAUAUGGCACAUGGUAAAUAUCUGGAAAACGAAUAAUUUUAGUAACAUUUCAUUCACUCAAGAAAAAUAAAAGGAUGAACACUUAGGAUUACAUUACAUUUUGUAGAAGUGCAUGAUGAAUAUCUUGGAUAUUGCUUCUGAUUACACCAACUGAAGGUCCACGUACUUUGGACCUUGAGAACACUACAUUGGAUGGUCAAUAGCGGUACCAACAAGCAAAUCAAUGAAUUGGGGCCAAAACCUGUGAGCCAUGUAACGGACAAUUCGACAGAAUCAUGUGCAAGUACCAAGCAAAC
This 5673-nucleotide long non-coding RNA is filed under the name Zea mays. Its description in RNAcentral is "long non-coding RNA (ZMAY_LNC004833)". The record is from RNAcentral. Lineage: Eukaryota; Viridiplantae; Streptophyta; Magnoliopsida; Poales; Poaceae.